RNAcentral lists this ribosomal RNA (237 nucleotides) under Arthrobacter sp. RNAcentral describes it as "partial 16S ribosomal RNA". It matches the Rfam family "Bacterial small subunit ribosomal RNA", at positions 963 to 1200 of the family's 1533-position model. RNAcentral also lists the same sequence under 1 other name. Lineage: Bacteria; Bacillati; Actinomycetota; Actinomycetes; Micrococcales; Micrococcaceae. The record is from RNAcentral.
GAAGAACCUUACCAAGGCUUGACAUGAACCGGAAUGAUGCAGAGAUGUGUCAGCCACUUGUGGCCGGUUUACAGGUGGUGCAUGGUUGUCGUCAGCUCGUGUCGUGAGAUGUUGGGUUAAGUCCCGCAACGAGCGCAACCCUCGUUCCAUGUUGCCAGCGGGUUAUGCCGGGGACUCAUGGGAGACUGCCGGGGUCAACUCGGAGGAAGGUGGGGACGACGUCAAAUCAUCAUGCCC